GGCGUGCCUAACACAUGCAAGUCAGGGAGAAAAGGGUAGCAAUAUCCUGAGUAAACCGGCGAACGGGUGAGUAACACGUAGGCAACUUACCUCGUGAACGGGAAUAACCACGCGAAAGCGUGGCUAAUACCCGAUGAUUUGCGCUGUAGCAUUACAGUGCAAUUAAAGGCCCGCAAGGGCGUCACGAGAUGGGCCUGCGUCCCAUUAGAUAGUUGGCGGGGUAAUGGCCCACCAAGUCGACGAUGGGUAGCUGGUCUGAGAGGACGACCAGCCACACUGGAACUGAGACACGGUCCAGACUUCUACGGAAGGCAGCAGUGAGGAAUAUUGCUCAAUGGGCGAAGGCCUGAAGCAGCGACGCCGCGUGAGGGAUGAAAUCCGUUAGGAUGUAAACCUCUUUUACAGGGGAAGAAUGUGCCACUUGGUGGCAUUGACGGUACCCUGUGAAUAAGCACCGGCUAACUACGUGCCAGCAGCCGCGGUAAUACGUAGGGUGCGAGCGUUGUCCGGAAUUACUGGGUGUAAAGGGUCCGCAGGCGGGCAGGAAAGUCAGAGGUGAAAGACUUCGGCUCAACCGAAGAAUUGCCUUUGAUACUUCUUGUCUUGAAUCCGAGAGAGGAUAGUGGAAUUCAUGGUGUAGCGGUGAAAUGCGUAGAGAUCAUGAAGAACACCAGUAGCGAAGGCGGCUAUCUGGCUCGGUAUUGACGCUCAGGGACGAAAGCGUGGGUAGCAAACAGGAUUAGAUACCCUGGUAGUCC
This 758-nucleotide ribosomal RNA is filed under the name uncultured bacterium. RNAcentral's name for it is "bacterial SSU rRNA". It matches the Rfam family "Bacterial small subunit ribosomal RNA", at positions 41 to 796 of the family's 1533-position model. The record is from RNAcentral.